This 109-nucleotide microRNA precursor is filed under the name Caenorhabditis japonica. RNAcentral's name for it is "pre miRNA CJA48616". The stretch from base 11 to 95 matches the Rfam family "mir-83 microRNA precursor family". The record is from RNAcentral. Lineage: Eukaryota; Metazoa; Nematoda; Chromadorea; Rhabditida; Rhabditidae.
CAUUCCGGCACCCUUGGAAGCACUGAGUUUACGUGUGUGCUUGACGGCCUUCUCGAGCAACGAUCUAGCACCAUAUAAAUUCAGUAUUUUCGAGUCGAGAGCCUUCUUU